Long non-coding RNA from Neofelis nebulosa (Clouded leopard), 4035 nucleotides. RefSeq lists it as uncharacterized. The record is from RefSeq and is a predicted model, not a curated record. The transcript has 2 exons. NCBI's taxonomy places the organism in Eukaryota, Metazoa, Chordata, Mammalia, Carnivora, Felidae.
UGGCGGCUGCUGGGGCUUCCGGCGAGCGUCUUGCGUCUUCCCGCUCGCUCGUCUGGGUCGGACCGCAGCUUGCGCGAGGGCGCCUUGGUCCUGGCUGCAACCUUAGCAAACCCCGAACCUGGGGCGCCUGGGACGGUGAAGGCGGGAUGAACCCGCAGGGAGGCCCCUGCGGGCCCGGCGGGUGUGCGCGGGGGAGGGGGUGGGCGGCGUCCGCCGCCUUCGGAAACCUGGCUGCCUUGCCCGAUUUUCCGCCUCCGGUUUGUCCAGCAGUCCAGUGCAGGACUACAGCUUGACCUAGAAGCUGCCCAGAAUUUUGGUAAACGUCCGUAUUUGCCCGUAAAGUUUUAUGCAGUUAAGGAGACACAAACGGACAGUUAGUGUUCACACACACGCACGCUCAGUUACCGGCUUUCGUUUCCGUUUGCUCGCUUGCUUAAUCGCGUGUUGAGGCUGGGGUCGGGGGGAGAUGGAAUCAGAAGGCUGUGAGAUGUGAACACAUGACUCUUCUUACUCAAGGUACCGCAGGGUAAUUUUUCCCUCGGAAGUGCAGAUCACGUGGCUGCCCUUUUCAGUGGUCCUUAUCCAUAUAGAUGCUCACGCCGGUAUUCAAAACUUUGGUUGACUUGGCUCCGCCUUCAUUCCUCACUUCUUCACUGUGUGUGCACCCUGCUUGCAGCUAAGCAGCAUUGCCUGCGUUUACGCGUCGGUACUGAGCACCUAUGUCCCAGGCACUGGGUUCAGCUACGAAGAAACAAGAGAUUCCUGCUGCUCCGAGGCUUCCGGUUGUCCUGGAAGCACUUCGAUUAUGUUAUCUCAGUGUUUUCUGUUCUCCAGGAUUUCUGAUAAGAAAUCAGCUUUAAUCUUACCAAGAUAUGUGAGUAAUCUCUCUUGCCGCUUUCAGAAUUCCAUCUUUGACUUUAGAUAGUUUGAUUAUAAUGUGUCUUGGUGUGGACCUCUUUGAGUUUAUCAUACUCAGGAUUCAUUGAACUCCUUGGAUGUGUAGGUUCAUGUACAUAUUGGUCAUUAUGUUUUCAAAUGUUCUUCCUAUUCCUUUCUCUCUGUCCUUUUCUGGCACUCUCAUUGCACACAUACUGGUACUUUGAUAGUGUCCUGCAGAUUUCAUGUGGUCUGACGAUUGUUCUUUAUUUUUCCUUUCUUCCUCUUAGGCUAUGUAAUUUCAGUUAAUGUAUCUUUAAGUUUGCUGAUUGUUUUUCUGCCUGAUCACACCUUCUAGUGAAUUUUUCAUUCUAACUCCUUACUUAAAUUCUAUUGGGUUCCUUCUGUUGAAAUCAGUGUGUGUCCUUCAACUUUGAUUUUUUUCUUUCAGAAUUGUCUUAGCUAUUAUAAGUUCUUUGUCUUACCAUAUAAUUUUUAUAAUAAGCUUGACAUUUCCUUUGAAGAAAUCCUACUGUGAUCUUGAUUGGUUUUGUAUCGAAUCUGUAGAUCCAUUUUGGAAGAAUUGACAUUUUAACAACUUCGACUCUUCUAAGCCAUGAACAUGGUAUAUCUAUUUUAGGUCUUCUUUGAUAUAUUUCAUCCGUGUUUAAUAGUUAUCACGUACAGAUACUGGAGAUAUUUGAUCAGAUUUAUCCCUAAAUAUUUCAUGCCUUUUGGUGAUACUGUAAGUAGUACUAUUUUAAAAUUUUGAUUUGUUAAGUAGAUAAUAGAAAAAUGCAGUUGAUUUUUGUGUAUUGAUUUUGUGUCCUCCAACCUGGUUAUAAAGACAAUCUAUAUGGACUGAAUUGAUUUCCUCUUUUCUAGUCCAUAUGUAUUUUUUUCUUCUUUUGUGCUAAGCAGACAGCAGAGAUGUACAACUGAACACAGCAAGAUUAGGCGAGUGUCCUCACAUGAAACCCCAGCUCCAUUUCCCCAUUUUUCCUUCUCAGAAAUCUGGCAAGUUUGGCUUAUACUCUUCCAAGCAAGAGUUUGGAUUCUUUUCUGGACUAACUGAAGGGCUCUAGGGAACAGACACACAUUUGAGGAGGCGAGGGUCAACCACUGACCGAGUAGCUGACCACUGAUCGACACACAGUGAAACCUACUAGUCAACCAGCCCUGCCCAUCCACACUGGGCUCCCAACCACCUUUUUUGCAUUUUUAUUUUUUAUCUUAUUUUUAAAAAUUUUUUAAUGUUUAUUUAUUUUUGAGAGAGAGAGCACAAGUUGGGGAGGGACAGAGAGAGAGGAAGACACAGAAUCUGAAACAGGCUCCGGGCUCCAAGCUGUCAGCACAGAGCCCAGCGUGGGGCUCGAACUCACAAACCGGGAGAUCAUGACCUGAGCCUAAGUCAGAGGCUUAACCUACUGAGCCGCCCAGGUGCCCCUUAUUUGCAUUGGUAAAUUUAACAUAUGAACAGACAGACCAUCAAGGAUUAAAGUUAAUCUCCAACAUUGAAACACAGACCAAAACAAAUUAGUGGAAACAGAAAUUAGAGGUAACAGAGGUAAUGCUCAGAGCAGAAUAUGUCCGAUACACCAAAAUUUAUAUCCUCAUGGAAAUGAGAAGAUACUGUAUCACUGAAACAAGAAGAGGAUAGUAUAAAAAAAAAAAAACAAGACAAAAGGGAUCUCUUAUAAAUUAAAGAGAAAACAGUAAAUAAGCUUCAUCAGAAGGUUUGUCAGGUAGAGUUGAGGAAUUCCCACAGAAAGUAAAACAAACAAAAUAUACAGGGAUGGAAAUAGAGGAACAAUCCUGUGUCUAGGAAGUCCCAGUGUAUUAAUAAAAGUUGUUUUAUGAAGCAACAAGGUACAAAACAGAAGUUUUACAAAACCUUAGCAACCCUGCAAACGUAUGAGAACUGGAAAGCAUGUGUUUCGCAUCCACAAGUCCACUGAGUGCCUAACACAGUGAAGAAGACGUGUCGUCAUGACACUUCAGAACAUCAGGGAAAAGGGAAGGUCCUAAGUCUUCCCGGAAGAACGGACAGAAUACAUCCGUAGGAUCAGGAACUUUAGAAUGCACAAAAAUUUCAACUUAGGCACUAAUACAAGCUAGAAGACAAGGGAGCAAUGCUGCGAAAAUUAUUCCAGAAAAUUUCCAACCUGUAAUUCUACACUAAUUCAAACUAUCGAUCAAGAUAGGACUAGAACAAAGCUAACCCCAGACAUGCUAGGUGUCAAAGAUUUAUAUCCAUGUAUCUUUUAUCUGGAAUCCUCACCCAGCAAGUGAGGAAUCCAUUCAGUUUGAGAAGAGUAUGUAUUCUGUUGGGUGGAGUCAUCCAUUGAUUCAUCCAUAGAUGUGAAUUACAUCCUGUGGAUUGAUGGUGUUGCUGCGCUUGAUCUCAGCCAAAAGGCCGAGAAGCGAUGAUUGAUGGUGUUGUUGAGUUCAGCUGUGUCCUUACUGAUCUUCCAUCUGCUGUGUGUGUCCAUUUCUGUCACAGAGCUGUUGAGGUCGCCAAGUCUAAUGGCGGAUUCAUUUAUUUCUCCUCGUAGUUCUGCCAAAUUCUGCCUCACAUAUUUUGAUGCUCUGUUAGGCACAUACACAUUAAGGAUCGUUGCGUCUUCUCGGAGGCUUGGCCUUUUAUCAUUAUGCAGUGCUCCUCCCAUCCCUGAUAAUCUCUCUCACUUUGAAGUGUGCUUGGUCUGAAAUUAAUAUCACUUCUCCUACUUUCUAUUUUUAAUGUUUAUUAUUUUGAGAGAGAGUGUGCCAGCAGGGGAAGGGCAGAGACUGAGGAAGAGACCGAGAAUCCCGAGCAGACUCUGCACCGUCAGCAUGGAGCCCUAUGCUGAGCUCGAACUCAAAAACGGUGAGAUCAUGACCUGAGCUGAAAUUGAGAGUUGGAUGCCUAGCUGGCUGAGCCCCCCAGGUGCCCCUAUCCCACCUUCUUUGAUUAGUGUUAGCACGGGAUAUCUUUCUGCAUCCCUUUACUUUUUUUUCCUCCAGCUUUAUUGAGAUCUAAUUGCGUAUAACAUUGCCUAAGUUGAAGGUGUACAGCAUAAUUAUUCGCUGCAUGUAAGAUUAAUGAAUACUUCCUUUGCCUCACGUAAUUACCUUUUUGUUGUUCUGGCGAGAAUAUUAAAGUUUUACUCUCAUAGC